CGGGAUAUAGCGCAGCUUGGUAGCGCGCCUGCUUUGGGAGCAGGAUGUCGCAGGUUCAAGUCCUGCUAUCCCGA
RNAcentral lists this transfer RNA (74 nucleotides) under Gracilaria firma. RNAcentral's name for it is "tRNA-Pro". It matches the Rfam family "tRNA". From Rfam's summary of the family: Transfer RNA (tRNA) molecules are approximately 80 nucleotides in length. The record is from RNAcentral. Lineage: Eukaryota; Rhodophyta; Florideophyceae; Gracilariales; Gracilariaceae.